RNAcentral lists this ribosomal RNA (253 nucleotides) under uncultured bacterium. RNAcentral describes it as "partial 16S ribosomal RNA". It matches the Rfam family "Bacterial small subunit ribosomal RNA", at positions 524 to 776 of the family's 1533-position model. The record is from RNAcentral.
UACGAAGGGGGCUAGCGUUGCUCGGAAUCACUGGGCGUAAAGGGUGCGUAGGCGGGUCUUUAAGUCAGGGGUGAAAUCCUGGAGCUCAACUCCAGAACUGCCUUUGAUACUGGCGACCUUGAGUCCGGGAGAGGUGAGUGGAACUGCGAGUGUAGAGGUGAAAUUCGUAGAUAUUCGGAAGAACACCAGUGGCGAAGGCGGCUCACUGGACCGUUGUUGACGCUGAGGUGCGAAAGCGUGGGGAGCAAACAGG